This 459-nucleotide ribosomal RNA is filed under the name uncultured bacterium. RNAcentral's name for it is "partial 16S ribosomal RNA". It matches the Rfam family "Bacterial small subunit ribosomal RNA", at positions 338 to 795 of the family's 1533-position model. The record is from RNAcentral.
CCUACGGGUGGCAGCAGUGAGGAAUAUUGGUCAAUGGUCGGGAGGCUGAACCAGCCAAGCCGCGUGAGGGAUGAAGGUACAGAGUAUCGUAAACCUCUUUUGUCAGGGAACAAAGGCGGGGACGUGUCCCCGGAUGAGUGUACCUGAAGAAAAAGCAUCGGCUAACUCCGUGCCAGCAGACGCGGUAAUACGGAGGAUGCGAGCGUUAUCCGGAUUUAUUGGGUUUAAAGGGUGCGCAGGCGGUCUGUUAAGUCAGCGGUCAAAGCCCGGGGCUCAACCCCGGCCCGCCGUUGAAACUGGCAGUCUAGAGUUGGAGAGAAGUAUGCGGAAUGCGCGGUGUAGCGGUGAAAUGCAUAGAUAUCGCGCAGAACUCCGAUUGCGAAGGCAGCAUGCCGGCUCCACACUGACGCUGAGGCACGAAAGCGUGGGUAUCGAACAGUAUUAGAUACCCGGGUAGUC